RNAcentral lists this ribosomal RNA (552 nucleotides) under Triticum aestivum (bread wheat). RNAcentral's name for it is "partial small subunit ribosomal RNA". Lineage: Eukaryota; Viridiplantae; Streptophyta; Magnoliopsida; Poales; Poaceae. The record is from RNAcentral.
AUGGCAGCGGACGCUAGAAGGGGUGAGGGGCCCGGGAGCCACAACGGGAGCCACGAGAGCGAGUUGGACUUGGCCAUGCUCGUCAGCGACUGCCUCAAGGGUAACGGCAGCGAGGACCCGGGCUCCCCGACCUCGGCCACUUCGCAGACAAGAUCAAGGUAUAUGUACAAGAAAGCAGGAGAUGAGAAAGAAAACAAGCUGCUCUCCAUUGUUCACUCCCUCUUCUCGAUCCACGAGACAUGGCUCCAGGUUUUUGUAAGAGGUCAAUGUACUGGCAGUUGCAGUCGCCAUCUACUCAUGAAGCUCCUUAGUUACUCGAGAUACGACGCGGUGGUGAACAUGAGUACAUUGAAUAUUAGUGGACUUGGAUCAUCUUAUGAAAUCCAUGGAAUCCUUGUGGUAGUUAUUUCUCCAGGUAUGGCAAAAGUCAUGGAGUCUUUACUAUUUGUACAUUGGCAUUCUCAAAAGAUAAUUGAUGGGUUUGUACUUUGUCAUUUUGUUUAUAGAGAAGGGGCCAUUUCCAGAAUUUUGCUAUGCUUGUCUUUGUAUUAA